Molecule: ribosomal RNA, 923 nt
Filed under: Inocybe caerulata
Lineage: Eukaryota; Fungi; Basidiomycota; Agaricomycetes; Agaricales; Inocybaceae
Description: partial large subunit ribosomal RNA
Rfam family: Eukaryotic large subunit ribosomal RNA
Source: RNAcentral
AUCAAUAAGCGGAGGAAAAAGAAACUAACAAGGAUUCCCCUAGUAACUGCGAGUGAAGCGGGAAGAGCUCAAAUUUUAAAUCUGGCGGUUCUUGAUCGUCCGAGUUGUAAUCUAGAGAAGUGUUACCUGUGCUGGACCGUGUACAAGUCUCCUGGAAUGGAGCAUCAUAGAGGGUGAGAAUCCCGUCUUUGACAUGGACUACCAGUACAUUAUGGUGCACCCUCGAAGAGUCGAGUUGUUUGGGAAUGCAGCUCAAAAUGGGUGGUAAAUGCCAUCUAAAGCUAAAUAUUGGCGAGAGACCGAUAGCGAACAAGUACCGUGAGGGAAAGAUGAAAAGAACUUUGGAAAGAGAGUUAAACAGUACGUGAAAUUGCUGAAAGGGAAACGCUUGAAGUCAGUCACGUUGGCUGGAAAUCAGCCUGCUUUUGCUUGGUGUACUUUCUGGUUUGACGGGUCAGCAUCAAUUUUGACCACUGGAUAAAGUCUCUGGGAAUGUGGCAUCUCUGGAUGUGUUAUAGCCCUAGGUCGCAUACAGUGGUUGGGAUUGAGGAACUCAGCACGCCGCAAGGCCAGGUUUCGACCAUGUUCGUGCUUAGGAUGCUGGCAUAAUGGCUUUAAUCGACCCGUCUUGAAACACGGACCAAGGAGUCUAACAUGCCUGCGAGUGUUUGGGUGGAAAACCCAUGCGCGUAAUGAAAGUGAAAGUUGAGAUCCCAUUCAGGGAGCAUUGACGCCCAGACCAGACCUUUUGUGACGGAUCUGCGGUAGAGCAUGUAUGUUGGGACCCGAAAGAUGGUGAACUAUGCCUGAAUAGGGUGAAGCCAGAGGAAACUCUGGUGGAGGCUCGUAGCGAUUCUGACGUGCAAAUCGAUCGUCAAAUUUGGGUAUAGGGGCGAAAGACUAAUCGAACCAUCUAGUAGCUG